UAAAUAAUUUAAUUAUUAUUAAAUUAAAUAAUAAUUAUAUAUUUAAGUAAAUAUUAAUUUAAUUAAUUAGGAAUAUGUGAAUAUGUAUAUAUAUAAAUUUUUAUUUAUUUUAUAUAAAAUAAUAAUAAAAUUUUUUAAUUUAGUAUUAAUUUAAAAAAAUAAAGUUAUUUGAUAGUUAAAAAGUAUUGUAAAAGAAAAUAUUUAUUAAAUUUAUUUAUAUAAAGUAAAAAAUAGUAUUUUUUACCUUUUGUAUCAGGGUUUAAUAAAAUUAAUAAAUAGAUUUAUUUAAUUCUCGAAAAAAAUUGAACUAAUUAAUCAUGAGUUUUAAUGUGAAAAUAUUAUUGAAAAUAAUUAAUUAGAGGUGAUAUACUAAUCGAAAUUUUUAUAUCUAGUUAUUUUAUAAAUAAAUUUAAUUUAGAUAAAAUUUUAAUUAAUAUUAUUUAUAAAAAUAUUAAUUUAAAUUUUAUUAAAAAUUUAAGGGAUAAGUUUUAAAUUUAUUUUAAUAUAUUAAAUAAAUUUUAUCUUAUUAUUAUUAAUUUCUUAUAUUUAAUUAUAUUUAAUAUUAUUAAAUAUAAAUUUAAAAUUUUAAAUAAAGAAAUAAUUUGAUUUAUUUAAAUAUUUAAUUAAUUAUAAAAUUAAAAAAUUAAAUUAUAUUAAUUUUGAAAUAAUGAUAAAAUUAGUAAAUAAUUAUAUUAUAUUAAAUAUAUAUAUAUAUUGAUAGAUUAAAUUAAGGAAUUCGGCAAAAAUUUUAUUCGCCUGUUUAAUAAAAACAUGUCUUAUUGAUAAUAAUUUUAAGUCUAAUCUGCUCAAUGAUAAUAUUUAAAUAGCUGCAGUAUCUUAACUGUACAAAGGUAGCAUAAUCAUUUGGCUUUUUAUUGAAGUCUGGAAUGAAAGAUUGCACGAAAUAAAAUCUGUCUCAAUUUAAUUAAAAUUUAAAUUUUAUUUUAAGUAAAAAUUCUUAAAUAAAUUUAAAAGACGAGAAGACCCUAUAGAAUUUUAUUAUAAUAAUAAUUUAUAUUUUAAUAAGUUAUAUAUAAAUUAUUAUUAUUAUUUAAUUGGGGCUAAUUUAAAAAUUUAAUAAAUUUUUUAAAAUUAAUAAAUUUACAUAAUUAUAUUUAAAUAAAUAUUAUUAUAUUAUUCAUUAAUAAAUGAAUUUGUAUUAAAUUAUAAUCCAUUUUUAGUGAAAUUAAAAUAAAUUACCUUAGGGAUAACAGCGUAAUAUUUUUGGAGAGUAAUUGAUAAAAAUGUUUGCGACCUCGAUGUUGAAUUAAGUUAAAUAUUUAGUUGAGAAAUUAAAUAAAUUAAGUCUGUUCGACUUUUAAAAACUUACAUGAUUUGAGUUUAAAACGGUGUGAGCCAGUUUGGAUUCUAUCUUUAAAUAAUUAUAAUAAUUUUGUACGAAAGGACUUAUUAUUAUUACUAUAGUAAUUUAAAUUAAUGAAUAUAAAUUAAUAAUUAUAU
Molecule: ribosomal RNA, 1461 nt
Filed under: Dolichoris vasculosae
Lineage: Eukaryota; Metazoa; Arthropoda; Insecta; Hymenoptera; Agaonidae
Description: 16S ribosomal RNA
Source: RNAcentral